This 454-nucleotide ribosomal RNA is filed under the name uncultured bacterium. RNAcentral describes it as "partial 16S ribosomal RNA". It matches the Rfam family "Bacterial small subunit ribosomal RNA", at positions 28 to 507 of the family's 1533-position model. The record is from RNAcentral.
GAUGAACGCUGACAGAAUGCUUAACACAUGCAAGUCAACUUGAACUUCGGUUUGGGUGGCGGACGGGUGAGUAACGCGUACAGAACUUGCCUCACAGCUAGGGACAACAUUUGGAAACGAAUGCUAAUACCUGAUAUUAUGAUUAUAUGGCAUCGUAUAAUUAUGACAGCUAUAUGCGCUGUGAGAGAGCUUUGCGUCCCAUUAGCUAGUUGGAGAGGUAACAGCUCACCAAGGCGAUGAUGGGUAGCCGGCCUGAGAGGGUGAUCGGCCACAAGGGGACUGAGACACGGCCCUUACUCCUACGGGAGGCAGCAGUGGGGAAUAUUGGACAAUGGACCGAGAGUCUGAUCCAGCAAUUCUGUGUGCACGAUGAAGUUUUUCGGAAUGUAAAGUGCUUUCAGUUGGGAAGAAAAAAAUGACGGUACCAACAGAAGAAGUGACGGCUAAAUACGUG